Molecule: long non-coding RNA, 1059 nt
Filed under: Salmo salar (Atlantic salmon)
Lineage: Eukaryota; Metazoa; Chordata; Actinopteri; Salmoniformes; Salmonidae
Description: lncRNA (ENSSSAG00000107535.1)
Source: RNAcentral
AUAGGCAUACAUAUUUCAUUACUGUGUGCAGCUGCGGUGUUAUCGCUUACUCACCUAAAACUGUAAACACUAAAGAGGUAGUGGCUAGGGCAUGGAGGUAGGGGCUAUGGAGAAGAAGCUAUGGGUUACUAUUGGAUCACCAAGACCUAGUUCUCUUCACUGUUUAAGCGUCCUCUUGGUUUUGUCUCUCAGGACUGAUUGGACAGAGGCGGCUUGGGACUUGAACCUGGCUUUCUGCUGCUUUCAAGAGAGAGAGAGAGAGAGAGAGAGAGAGAGAGAGAGAUCAGUCUCAUCUUUCACCACCCUGUAAAGUUCAUCAUAACUUAUUUCACCUCUAGCCUAAUAAACUGUAGCCUUUCCCGAGUCGUAGUGGGAGGACCACACACCAUAUCACCUGAAUCCAAGUUGACUUCGAUAUGAUGGUUAUUAUAUCAAUAUCUGCGCAUAAAGGUGUUUCCACCGCCAUUUCUCGCAUAAUUCAUUUUACCGACACAGAAAGAUCCCACCUUGCCUGGCGUAUUUUGUUUUGUCGACAUUUGGAAAGUUUACAGCCAAAUGUGUUGUUUCCAUCAGGCCUGUCCUGACAUGUUUAAUCCGACAUGUACUUUACUCACAUAACAAGGUUGGAUGGAAACCAGGUUAGUGAUGCUAAUAUACAUUAUUACAUUCAGUAAUAAGCUACAGUCUGUCUGAAAUGACAUCCUAUUCCUAUAGUGCACUAGGGAGUAGGGUGCCAUUUCAGACACACUUCAGAGACACAUCAUGUUAAUAUGCAGUCUUUGAAAAUGUUGCCAAUGGUUACGGGGUCAAAUGAACUCUGAACUUUCCAGAGAGGAUGUCCUGUGUCGGUGAUGUCACAGGGUCCUGUUUUUCAGCGGACGGAGGGAUGUUGUAGAAAACAGAGGACGGAAAGACAUAGGAGGGAGAGGAGCAGGAAGAGGAGGAAGAGAGGGAGGAGGAAGAAGGGAGUAAUGUGGGGGAGAGUGUGGAAGGAGGAGAGGGUUUGAGGAAUUUUAUUUCAGGGGCUUUGAUUGCAGUGCAUCUUAUCUUGAAGGUCUC